UACGGAGGGAGCAAGCGUUACUCGGAAUCACUGGGCGUAAAGGGUGCGUAGGCGGGUCUUUAAGUCAGGGGUGAAAUCCUGGAGCUCAACUCCAGAACUGCCUUUGAUACUGAGGAUCUUGAGUUCGGGAGAGGUGAGUGGAACUGCGAGUGUAGAGGUGAAAUUCGUAGAUAUUCGCAAGAACACCAGUGGCGAAGGCGGCUCACUGGCCCGGUACUGACGCUGAGGUGCGAAAGCGUGGGGAGCAAACAGG
This 253-nucleotide ribosomal RNA is filed under the name uncultured bacterium. RNAcentral describes it as "partial 16S ribosomal RNA". It matches the Rfam family "Bacterial small subunit ribosomal RNA", at positions 524 to 776 of the family's 1533-position model. The record is from RNAcentral.